RNAcentral lists this long non-coding RNA (268 nucleotides) under Daucus carota (carrot). RNAcentral's name for it is "long non-coding RNA (DCAR_LNC000581)". Lineage: Eukaryota; Viridiplantae; Streptophyta; Magnoliopsida; Apiales; Apiaceae. The record is from RNAcentral.
GUGUACUUGCUACCCAUUCAUGUUCGGUACACAUGAUGUAAACCAGUCGAUUUUAUAAUGAAUUCUGUNGGUAAGUUUUAAUAUGUUCGUCUAAUUCUAUUCUAGUACAGGGAUAGAAAUGUAUGCUAAUGCAGUUGAGAUUUUCCAUCAGUCUUAUGAUUUGUUUUGUGUUUGAUCUUCUUCUCUUGAAGAACAUGUUUGUUGUCCAGAUGAUGUUUUCUUGAGCUUGAUUCAUCUCGGUUGAUAUAUUUUAUGAUUUAUAGUCGCU